Molecule: long non-coding RNA, 186 nt
Organism: Daphnia pulex (common water flea)
Lineage: Eukaryota; Metazoa; Arthropoda; Branchiopoda; Diplostraca; Daphniidae
Exons: 2
Source: RefSeq, a predicted model, not a curated record
CAAUGGCUUCGCUCUUCUUCGAUGCUAGAAUGUGAAGUUGACGAGGAUGACGCGGGAGUGAUCUGGAAGAAGGACGGUGAAGUCUUCAAACCAACAGAUAAAAAGAUUCAGAUCCAAGUAGAGGGCAAAAAGCGUCGCUUAUUUUUCAAAGAGAUCAAAAUGAACGAUGCUGGACACUACACUUCC